Notechis scutatus (mainland tiger snake) is the source of this 580-nucleotide non-coding RNA. NCBI's taxonomy places the organism in Eukaryota, Metazoa, Chordata, Lepidosauria, Squamata, Elapidae. The record is from RefSeq and is a predicted model, not a curated record.
GCUUUAUAAAUUGAUGAAGGAAGGAAGGAAGGAAGGAAGGAAGGAAGGAAGGAAGGAAGGAAGGAAUCAAUACUAGUUUGACAGUGGAACCAAUGAAAUGAAAGUGGGGCUCUCAUCUGCUUGAUGUGUUCAUGCAGAGAGCCAUCUGUCAGAUAUGGUUUAAUUUGGAUUCCAGCACCAGGCAAGGAUUUGGACUUAAUAGCCUUAAUGUGUUUUUUUUUAAACUCUGUAAUUCUAAGUUCCAAAUUCAUCACUGUCAGUCAAUAUUUUUAUAUAUCUUAUUCUAACUAUUACUUGGAACUAAAUUGCAUUGAUUUCAAUAUGAUUUUGUUAUAAUACGAUAAUGUCAAGUUUGGAUUGGCCUCAUGUUUCCUAAUCCCUUUUAUAUUAUGCACAAAGAUAGAUAAAAUACAUAUCAAUAAGCUUUCUUUACUUUAUAUCAUAAUUUGUAUGUGAUUUAUUUUUAAGAGAUCAAAUCAUUAACAUUUGUAAUAUAUGCUCUUGCUUAUAAGAAUAUUAUCAAGUUACUGAAUGUAAACUUUGCAAGUGAUACAGGAAUUAUUUCUUGAUUUUUAAAAAU